Long non-coding RNA from Gallus gallus (chicken), 1125 nucleotides. RefSeq lists it as uncharacterized. The record is from RefSeq and is a predicted model, not a curated record. NCBI's taxonomy places the organism in Eukaryota, Metazoa, Chordata, Aves, Galliformes, Phasianidae. The transcript is spliced from 8 exons.
GCUUCAAGCAUGCGCAGAGAGAGGGCUUUUCUCGGCCGCCCUCUGAGCGUGCGCGGUAACGGUCGUAGAACGGCCGGGCGCGAGGCGGGGCGCCCCCCUGCGGCGGUUGGGCGCGCGGCGAUGGAACUGGAGGCGGCGCGGCGCGCGGUGUUGGCCGCCGUGCGGGGCACGUGCGCCGCGGAUCUGCCCCGCCUGCUGCACUGGAUGCGCCACAGCAGUGACUUUGAUGAGUUUGUGGUGACAAACAAUGAUGUUGUACUCAAAAAUAUUGCUGAAGAUUUGCGGAAUCAUUUACCCAUUGAGGCAAUGUUUAAUUCGGAACAUCUAGCUAUUCAGAAGAUACAUCAACAUCCGCUGCCCAUGGUUCACAUCGAUGCAUUCCUUUAUGAUGAUGAUUUUGUUGAUACAAUGUGUGAGGAGGGGAGAAUGAGUAGGAACUACUGCACGGAGUGUGGCUCAUACAAGACUGCAUCUUUAGAGUUUAUUUCGCAUUCCUUUUCCCUCAUGGAACUGAAGUUUCUUUAUCUACAUGUACUGCCUGACCUGACAGGAAAGGUAGUGGUUGACGUUGGCUCCAGGCUUGGUGCAGUGCUAUUUGCGGGUUAUCUUUAUAGCUCAGCAUCCCAACUGUAUGGAGUAGAAAUGAAUGCAGACUUUUGCCAGUUGCAAGAAAUGACAAUUACAAAAUACCAGUUCAUUGACAGAAUAAAGGUGGUUCACGCAGACAUCUGUACUCAGGCUUCACUUCUUCAGAAGGCUGAUGUUAUUGUAAUGAAUAAUGUCUUUGAAUAUUUUCUUGACAGACUGGAACAGGCCAGAGCUUGGGAGUUUAUUGCUUGUAAUGUAAGGAAAAGAGGGUCCUUGUUAGUUACAGUUCCAAGCCUUAAAGAAUCACUCUCAAAGCUCCAGACGGAUAUACAGCUCAGCCAAUGGGUAGAGGAGGUGCAGCUAAACUAUGACGUAUAUGUGGAAAAGGAUGUUGACAGAGAAGCACUCCAACAAAUACAUUUAUACAGGAUUCUGUAGUACCUGGGAAAACUUAUUAAUAUCCUUGCAAUAUCAUAUAUUUUGAGUCUAAAAUGAAUUCCGAUUUGUAUGUAUGAAUAAAUUGAGUAUGAGUUGUUA